RNAcentral lists this ribosomal RNA (439 nucleotides) under uncultured bacterium. RNAcentral describes it as "partial 16S ribosomal RNA". It matches the Rfam family "Bacterial small subunit ribosomal RNA", at positions 338 to 794 of the family's 1533-position model. The record is from RNAcentral.
CCUACGGGAGGCAGCAGUGGGGAAUAUUGCACAAUGGGGGAAACCCUGAUGCAGCGACGCCGCGUGAGUGAAGAAGUAUCUCGGUACGUAAAGCUCUAUCAGCAGGGAAGAAAAUGACGGUACCUGACUAAGAAGCCCCGGCUAACUACGUGCCAGCAGCCGCGGUAAUACGUAGGGGGCAAGCGUUAUCCGGAUUUACUGGGUGUAAAGGGAGCGUAGACGGCAGCACAAGUCUGGAGUGAAAUCCCGGGGCUUAACCCCGGAACUGCUUUGGAAACUGUGCGGCUGGAGUGCAGGAGGGGUAAGCGGAAUUCCUAGUGUAGCGGUGAAAUGGGUAGAUAUUAGGAGGAAAACCGGUGGCGAAGGCGGCGUACUGGACUGUAACUGACGUUGAGGCUCGAAAGCGUGGGGAGCAAACAGGAUUAGAUACCCUAGUAUC